This 489-nucleotide ribosomal RNA is filed under the name uncultured bacterium. RNAcentral's name for it is "partial 16S ribosomal RNA". It matches the Rfam family "Bacterial small subunit ribosomal RNA", at positions 28 to 507 of the family's 1533-position model. The record is from RNAcentral.
GACGAACGCUGGCGGCGUGCUUAACACAUGCAAGUCGAACGGUGAAGGGACCAGCUUGCUGGUUCUGGAUGAGUGGCGAACGGGUGAGUAACACGUGAGUAACCUGCCCCCUUCUUCUGGAUAACCGCAUGAAAGUGUGGCUAAUACGGGAUAUUCUGGGUCUGUCGCAUGGCGGGCCCGGGAAAGAUAUUGCUUCGGUGGGGGAUGGGCUCGCGGCCUAUCAGCUUGUUGGUGGGGUGAUGGCCUACCAAGGCGGUGACGGGUAGCCGGCCUGAGAGGGUGGACGGUCACACUGGGACUGAGACACGGCCCAGACUCCUACGGGAGGCACCAGUGGGGAAUAUUGCACAAUGGGCGCAAGCCUGAUGCAGCGACGCCGCGUGAGGGAUGGAGGCCUUCGGGUUGUAAACCUCUUUCGCCAGUGAAGCAGGCCUGCUCCUUGUGGGUGGGUUGACGGUAGCUGGAGAAGAAGCGCCGGCUAACUACGUG